GGGUGAUAUUGGUGGUAGGCUCAUGGUUGGACGUGGUGCUUAGGAACAUGGUUCAGUGGGUGACAUUGGUAGUAAGGUGACAGUUGGACCAGACGAUCUUGGAGGUCUUGUCCAGACCUACUGAUUCU
This is a long non-coding RNA of Oxyura jamaicensis (ruddy duck), 128 nucleotides long. RefSeq lists it as uncharacterized. The transcript is spliced from 4 exons. NCBI's taxonomy places the organism in Eukaryota, Metazoa, Chordata, Aves, Anseriformes, Anatidae. The record is from RefSeq and is a predicted model, not a curated record.